Long non-coding RNA from Halichondria panicea, 3693 nucleotides. RefSeq lists it as uncharacterized. NCBI's taxonomy places the organism in Eukaryota, Metazoa, Porifera, Demospongiae, Suberitida, Halichondriidae. The record is from RefSeq and is a predicted model, not a curated record. The transcript is spliced from 4 exons.
ACAUAGCUAAACACCAAAACACUAAUCGAACCUUUAGCGCUCAGGCUGCGCGAUUCUAUUGGUAUAAGAAGACAUACGAUAUGUCAUGCACUCACUGCAUGCACACUAAACAACAAUUAGGAGGAUUGCGGAGCUGAUCACAAGAAGAAAGUAGAAAUUUCUUUGACAAUUGUUCUCUGCUGAGGGUACCAGAAUAACUUUGACCAGCCACUGACAGCUAGUGAGCGUCGAUUGUCAAUUCAAAACCGCUCUUUCUGGAGUCAGGAGUCUAUAAUAGGCCCCACAGGAAUAGACGUUUUUCAAUUCCUUUGCCAAUUGAAAGCAUUACGUCUUACGAUUUCUCUGGACCGGGUAUGAGAAUCAAUGGGACCAGCCUCUGCUCUUCCAGUGUCCUACUAACCAUGUGAUGUCCGGAGUGAAGAGUGUCCAUGACAAUGGCAAAGAGGAUUGUGGCAGUUUAAGUGUUGUAAGUCAUCAAACAAAAAGUUGUGAGUUAAUUGUCUAACUUUAUCAAUAACUGGAGAGGACUCAUUAGCUAUAUACAGCUCCCGCUAUAUACAAGGUGUUUGUGGGUGCCUUCAGCUACCAUGACAAUUAAUGGAAAAGAGUAUAUAAGUAUCAAUUUAUGCGUUUUGUAACUUGAGAACACGUAUCAUUCCAUCACAUAGACCGUCAGUGGAAGAUGCUGCAGUGCAUGUGAAUAUAGUAUAAAGCAGAGCCUGUGCCAACAAUUUUUAUACAUGCAUGGUGUCGAUUCAUCUUAAUGUUGCAUGCAUGGUCUUUUACACAUGAACUGAACAGAAAUAUAUAGCUUAAAGUUAGUAGUACAAACAUUAUAGUAGCUGGAGCUGUUGGGCACUCUCAGGCAAAAAUGAUUUCCUUGUGUUAUCAUGCAGGAACGUAAAAUGACUUGUCACCACUAUUAUUAUAUAAACCUCAAUGCCUGAUUGACAUGUAUAAGCUAUAGAUCUAUAAUUUUGCCAGCAUGGUGAGGAUGAAGUCUAUCUACCUCCAGUUAUACCUCAUUAAAAGGUCUCAAUUGAUACAUAAUAAAUUGUGACAGGCUCUGGGAAAACCAGACUAUUGGAGCAGAAUUUAGUAUUGAGCUACAGCUAAAUUUAUACCUACAGUAUAAAAUCUAAAAAAAUGUUAUUCUGCAGUCCUUCUACUACCUCUCAGUAAAAUCUGAUACUCUAAAUCCAAUUUUUUCCAUCGACGUCCAAACUUCGCUAUUAUUUUUUCUACCUUAUUUUUCCUAAUUGAGCAAUUUUUGAGAGGCGUUUUUUACUCAUUUUACGGCUUCAAGUUUCUAACGCGCAUAACUCUGGUAUGAAACUAUAGGUAUGUGAACACUAAACAUGCAUAUCAUUGUGUGUAGGCGAUGCUCUACUCUAUCAUUUGGUACAUUAAUCACCAAAAUUUUAGCCUGCUCCAAUAGUCUGGUUUUCCCAGAGCUGUCACAUUAAUGAGCCUGGACAAACCACUGAAACAAAGCUAAUAAGUUAUCAUGUCUCUUGGCUUCGUUUUUAAGAGACCCAAUCCCCAUGCAUGCAUAGUGGCUAUACAAAGCCAAGAAUUUCCGAUUAACUGUUUACAUCAAUAAAUGGGAUACGCAUAUGAAUUUUCGUUCUUCUACCGUCUUUACUAUAGCUGGUGUUCUAUCUACCAUGACAAUGGCAGAGAGUGAGUAAUUACAUUAGUAUCUGAUCAAGGUGAAUGAAAUGCGCAUGACUUGUGACUCUCCUGUUUACAGAAAUUGUCUGUGCAUGUGCAUAGAAGAUUCUGGAGUGUGACUACCAGAAAUUAGAGAGCAAGCUAAGUGGAUCUAAAAUCAAUGACAUGUAGUGAAACUGAAUAUAGAUAGUCUAGUAUAUAUUGCUAAGACUAGUCUGUCCACACAGUAAUCAUGAAGAAAUGUUUGAUUUCAUAGAUCAGUAGUAAUGGAAUGUCAGAUAUCUCUAAUUUGUUCCUUGUUAGGCACAAUUAGGCAGUUUUUAUGGCACAAAAUGCACGUAUAAUAAUUACUUCACGGCAAGAACUUUCCCAAACAGUUACAUACAGUGCAUUCAGUCUAGAGUAGAAUACCACAAAAGAGUGAGUAGUUGUACUUAAAUGUAAAUAUCUUAUGAUGGUAAGAAAAUCUGCUGAUACCAUUGUCACGUAAGUGAAUGAAUAAGCAACAACAUAAUCCAAAAUGUUUCCAUGACAACAUAAGGUGGUGGGUUUGUGGUGACUAAUAAAACAGUACCCAAUUGUUAUAGUGGGUAAUCGGUUAGGGAGAGAAAAGGCCAACGGUUUCCGGCUAAGGUUUGGAAAUUUGUUACAACAUCUAUAGAUAGUUUGAAAGGUUCGAUAUUGCUUAAAUAUCUACACAUCCACCGCAGUGCUCAAAAUUGCUAGUUUUUAGUGCCGUUUCGGUUAGGGAGAGAUUUAAAGAAAAUCUUACAGCUAAGGUCCAAAAUUUCACCGAGUUAGCUUGAAUAAAUUGUCUAAUUUUUGAUAAGAAAAAUGUGUCCAGAAAUAUUUUAGUUCCGGAACCGAUAAUUUAUGUUACACACAUUUUUUUUUACGAUCACCCCCAUUUUCACCUAAAAUGAUUUCCCACUACAACAACUUUUGGGGAAAUAUUUUUGAAUAAUGUUGUAGCUUAUUCAUUCACCUAUACAAUGGUAUCAGCACAAUUUCUUAGAAAUGUUCCGAUCUUGAGAUACAUUGAAGUACAACUACUCACCUAUUUUGGUAUUCUACUCUCUAUAGACUGUAGCUAAACCAAAACACUGCAUGAUCGUGAUCCUAUUGCUAAUAAAAGAAAGACAAGAUAUCAUUUACUUCAUAUAAGCAACAAAGGAGCAUUGCGGAGCUGAUCACAAGAAGAAAAAGAAAAGAAAUUCUUGGACAAUGAACUGGCAAACCUUUGUUGGAAUGUUGCUUUUCGUAUCGGUGUUCUCUGCUGAGGGGUACCAGAAUAACUUCGUCCAGCCACUGCACGUCAAUUGUAUCAAAAAAGGCUCUUUCUGAAUCGAGUCAGGAUAAUCACCACAGAGAUAGACGUUUUCAAUUCCUUUGUAAUUAUGUCUGGGUACCGUAUAGCAGGAAAUUUUCACGGGUGCAAAUUUUCGCUAUUUGCUCAACAGAAAUUUUCGUGGGUUCUGAGUUUAAAUGCUAGGAAACCACACCCACCAAUAGCUUUGCAUGUGAAAUACCGGUGUGUGGGAGUUUUAAUUUUCGCGUUAAUUGCUCUGCCCUCGAAAAACGCGAAAUUUUGCACCCCACAAAAAUGUCCCGCUAUACGGUAUGGGACCAGCCUUUCCUCUUUGUCCUACUGACUACAUGAUGUCCGGAGUGAAGAGUAUCCAUAACAAUCACAGAGAGGAUAGAUUGUGGCAGUUUAAGUGUUGCAAGGCUUCUUGUCAUCAAACGAAGAGUUGUGAGUUGUCCAAAUUCACUGAUCAAUAACUGGAGAGGACUCAUUAACUAUAAUGCUCCCGCUAACAAAGUGUUUGUGAGUGCCUUCAGCUACCAUGACAACGGACAAGAAGAUCGUAGGUGGAAGAUGCUGCAGUGUGAAUAUAAGAAAGACGAGUAAAGCAAAGCCAGUGCCAACAACUUUUAUAUGUAGUCUUUUACACGUGAACUGAUAAUUUAGUUUAGUUUAGUAUAGACAAGUGUGUAUACUGUAUAGCUGAAACUGUU